RNAcentral lists this ribosomal RNA (320 nucleotides) under uncultured Thioprofundum sp. Its description in RNAcentral is "partial 16S ribosomal RNA". The stretch from base 1 to 187 matches the Rfam family "Bacterial small subunit ribosomal RNA", at positions 352 to 539 of the family's 1533-position model. The record is from RNAcentral. Lineage: Bacteria; Pseudomonadati; Pseudomonadota; Gammaproteobacteria; Chromatiales; Thioprofundaceae.
CCGGCGCGACGCGGUAUACGUACUGAUCCAGCAGCGCCGGUUGUAGUGACGAAGGCCUCCGCGGUUGUAAAGCACUUUCAGUAGGGAAGAAAAGCCUAAGGUUAAUACCCGUGAGUCUUGACGUAACCUACAGAAGAAGCACCGGCUAACUCCGUGCCAGCAGCCGCGGUAAUACGUACGUGCCAGCAGCCGCGGUAAUACUUACGUGCCAGCAGCCGCGGUAUAAUAUAUCUGUUAGCAACCGCGGUAAUAUUUUCUUUUGGGCAGCAGCGGGAGUUUGUGUGUUUGGUCUGUUCCGGCGUGGUAUUAUGGUUUGGGUA